This 627-nucleotide ribosomal RNA is filed under the name uncultured bacterium. Its description in RNAcentral is "bacterial SSU rRNA". It matches the Rfam family "Bacterial small subunit ribosomal RNA", at positions 505 to 1149 of the family's 1533-position model. The record is from RNAcentral.
GUGCCAGCAGCCGCGGUAAUACGUAGGCUACAAGCGUUACUCGGAUUUAUUGGGCGUAAAGGGUCUGUAGAACGUUUUAAGUCUUGUUUCAAAGACCUCGACUUAAUCGAGGAAAGGGGCAAGAUACUAAAAGACUAGAGUGGUAUCGGGGUUACUGGAAUUUUUAGUGUANGGGUUAAAUCCGUGGAUACUAAAAAGAACACCAAGCGCGAAGGCGGGUAACUAGGUACAUACUGACGUUCAGAGACGAAAGCUAGGGUAGCAAAUCAGAUUAGAGACCUGAGUAGUCCUAGCUGUAAACAUUGUCCGUUAGUUCUUCCUUAAUUUAUUAGGGGGGGAUGUUAGCAAACGCGUUAAACGGAUCGCCUGGGGAGUAUAGCCGCAAGGCCGAAACUCAAACGAAUUGGCGGGGAGGCGCACAACCAGUGGAGCAUGUGGUUCAAUUCGAUACAAAGCGAUGAACCUUACCUGGGUUUGAAAUGUAUCUGCAAAUCCCGAGAAAUCGGGACAUCCUUCGAGGGUGAUACACAGCUGUUGCAUGGCUGUCGUCAGCCCGUGACGUGAGUUGUUCUCUUAAGUGAGGUAACGGGCGCAACCCCCGUUCUGUGUUAUUGUGUCACAGAAGAC